Amaranthus tricolor (Joseph's coat) is the source of this 4534-nucleotide long non-coding RNA. RefSeq lists it as uncharacterized. Lineage: Eukaryota; Viridiplantae; Streptophyta; Magnoliopsida; Caryophyllales; Amaranthaceae. The transcript is spliced from 4 exons. The record is from RefSeq and is a predicted model, not a curated record.
CACUCUGACCCCCUUAGUCUACUUCCAAAUUUCCUUUCAAAAAAAAAAUAAAAAACAAAACAAAAAACAAAAGUACUAUUCAAACAAAACCCAAACAAAACUUUUAACGCUCUUACUCCUCGUCUCUCACUGCAACUCGUCUCUAGCUGCUAUUCGUCUCACUCGCCGAUCACCGAUCGCCAAACACCAUUACCGAUCACUCGCCAAAGGCCUUGAUCGCUCUUCUCACUCAUUGCUCACAAUUUUGUAGGGUUUCAUAAAAGAGAGGUAUGUCUAUUGAAUCAGAUUCUGAAUAUAAGAAAACGAGUAAACACAACAUUAAUGAUACUGAAGAAUCUGAUGUCAAGCCUACUUAGAGGAAAAGGAAGGGAAAAUCUAAAAUGAUUGAAUCUAAGAAAAAAGGAAAUAAGGUUGCUGGAAACUCUGAAGUGCAAGUGUAUUUAUAAUUGAGGACUGUUUACCGAAGAGUACAUAGGAGUUAUUAAAAGAGGUAUGGGGCAACGCAGUGGGAGAUGCCCUCCCCCUGGGAAAUAAAUUCAUUGUGGACCUGUGGACUUGACGAUUCCAAUCAAGUGUAUCGCACAAGCUCAACUAUUAAUACCACUGAAGAUAAUGGAUCGAAGAUGUUGAUUGUUUUGAGACAAGGUGUCGACUGUCGUCCAUAUCAUUUGUACAAUAUAAUCAAUCAACUUUCUGAAGAACAAAUUAAUUCUGUUUAAGAAAUUGGGUUUGAGGGCUUGCUCCAUUUAAGGGUGACGAACUAAUUACCAAAAUGCUUCCUUGGUUAAUUAAUAAUUUUGACUAAAGUAGUCGUUACAUUGAAAUACAUUCUAGAGUUGGAUUUGUAUUGACCCUAUACGACGUGCAUGAUUUUUUUGGUCUUCCUUUGAUUGAGGGAAACAACGUCAUUGAGUGUCGUAUGAAUGUUAAAGAUAAUCCUGAUUUCCAUUUUAAAAAGAGUUAAAAAACAUCUUUAAUUUGGACAAAGAUCUAACUUUGCAAAUGGUGGAGAAAAAAAUAUUGAAAUUGAAAGAAGUGAUGAGACUUUUAAAAAAUUGUUUGUGAUUCAUGCUUUCUCAAGCUUUUUGACUCCGCAUCAGAAGAAGUUAGUAGAUAUGAUGUUGGCAAUAUUAGUGUCAAAUGUGGAUCAAAUUAAAAGCUACGAUUGAUGCCCCUAUGUUAUUGACAAAUUUUGUGAAGCGACAAGGCUUACAAAAAUGGUAACUUGCAAUUUCAUUGUGGUUGUUUAAUUUUGUUGGAGAUCGUUUAUUAUCGUUUGAGGUUUACAUAUAUUGGAAAACAAACUAAUUUGCGUUUUGGGUUUGGGAUUCUUGAAACUGAAACUUAUCCUAUAAGCAGAAAGUUGGGGAAUCUCUAAAUUUUGUCCACCUAGACAUGAUGUACUAUUUCGAAAUCCUCACAAUAGAAAACAUAUGUAAAAUUCUUAUGAUGUGGUAGCACAACCAUCAAAACUCCUUAAAACUCUUACACGAACAUGUUAUUGUAUCAACCUUGGAUUUCACUUUAUGUGAGGAGUGUUCAAUGUCGGGAAAUAUGACUUGGUACUUGUUACCAUGUGUAACGUCAUGUUCAUGUACUUGAUUCACUAUUGUAACCGUGGCAUUUAUAAAUUUAUUUUCAAAACCACGAAAAUGUGUCUCCGUGUAAACCUCUGAGGCAUGCUCUAGUAGCCCAAUUAGGGGCAUAUGUGAAGUUGGGACUAAUUUUGUACCGUAAAACUCAUCAAUUUCCAACCAGAAACUUUCUGAUAAUCCAGACUUCUUUUAUCAAGUUAGACUCAACAAAGAAGAUCGGAUUUGUUGUAUAUUUUGGAGAGAUGAUGUGAUGUUGGAAGAUUAUAAGAUAUUCGGUGAUGUGAUUGUAAUGGACACAACUUAUAAGAAGAACAAGUAUAAUCUCAUAUGUGCCCUCUUUGUUCGUAUUAACAACCAUUUGAAGAACACAGUGUUUGCUUGAGCAUUUAUGAGAGGUGAGACUGUUGAGUCAUUCGUAUGGCUUCUUAACACUUUUAUUAAGUCAAUGGGCGAAAAGUGUCUAGAGACCAUAUUUACAGACCAAGAUGCAGCCAUGUAGGCAAUAAAAAACUGUUUUCCUGGAUCAAGGCACAGAUGUUUGGCACAUAACUCAGAAUGUUGUUAAGCGGUACGAUGCACUAAAGAAGGACACAACAUUCAAGAAAACCUUCCACAAGUGCUUGAGUGGAUGCUCAAACAAGGAUGAGUUUGAGGCGUGUUGGAAGUUGAUGAUAACAACAUAUAAGCUAGAGAAUAACAAAUGGUUCAAUAGGUUGUAUAAUUUGAACGAAAAGGGGCAACGACGUUAAGUAAAGACUUCUUCUCGGCUGGUAUUCUAUCUUCACGGAGAAAUGAAAGCUCAAACCGUGCAGUUGGUUUUCGAGCCAAUAAAAGGACAACCUUGAUUGAGUUCUUCCACAUGUUUGAGGACACAAUGAUACGUUAGACAAGUUUAGAAAUUUAUGAUAAGUUUCACCAUACAAAAUCAGUCCCAACUUCACAUAUGCCCCUGAUUGGACUACUGGAGCAUGCCUCGAAGGUUUACACAGAGACACUUUUUCGUGAUUUUGAGAAUUAAUUUACACAUGCCAUGGAUACAAUUGUGAAUCAAGUACAUGAGCAUGGCGUUACAAAUGGUAACAAGUACCAAGUCAUAUUUCUUGGCAGUUGGCACUGAACACUCCUCACAUGAAGUGACAUAUAAUAAAUUUGCUAUGCUUGUAAGCCUUGUCAGCUUCACAAAAUCUGUCAAUAGAAUAAGAGCACCAAUUAUAGGUUUUAAUUUGAUCCACAUUUGACUCUCCUAUUGCCAACCUCAUAUCUUCUCACCAUCUUCUUUCAAUUCCAAUGUUUUCUUCUCUGCCAUUUGCAAAGGUACCCUUGUCUAAAUUUAAGAUAUCCUUUAACUUCCUUUUAAAAUGCAAUUCAGGGUCAUCUUUAACAUUCCUAUACAGUUAAUAAAGUUGUUCCCUCUUUCAAAGGAAGACCGAAAACAUUAUGCACGUCAUACGGGGUCAAUACUAAUCUAAUUCUAGGACUUAUUUCAAAGUAACGACUACUUUGGUCAAAAUUGUUAACUAACCAGGAAAGCAUUUUGGUAAUUGAAUCAUCGCCUUUAAAUGGAGCAAACCCUCAAACCCAAUUUCUUUUAACAGAAUUAAUUUGUUCUUCAGAAAGUUGAUAGAUUGUAUUCAACCAUCACAACCUCUUCUUCACUCCCAAUCCACAUUCCCCUUUUUUCUAUAUUCCCAAAACCAAUUUCAUUUCUCUCCUUCUUAGACAAAAUAUUCUGACAUUGACAUGACCUUCUUGAUGAAGUAAACCCAGAUGAAUAUAUCAUCUUUAACCCACUUGAAAAUUUUUAAGGUUUGAAGGUGGUGAUGAGUUGAAUCAGAAUGUGGUGCGACUAGGUCUUGGGCCUGGGUUGUAAAGGGGUUCUGGGACCUGUAAUUUUGUGGGUAGGGUUGUGCGCCACUAAAGAAAAGCAAUUGGCGGUGAUGGUAGUGGCUGCGUGAUGGUAUCUCCGGUGAGAGGGAGGGGUGGCAGUGUGGCUGAAUUGUUAAGGGGUAGGGAUGGCAAUUCAUUCCAGUCCGAAUAUGACCCUAGUCCGACUCGAUCCGAAGAAAAUAAUCCGAUUCGAGUCCGAGGAAAAGUUAUCCGACUCCAACUCCGACUUCACGAUUCAAAUUCGAGUUAGAGACGGACCAGAGUUGGACCUUAUUAAAAAUCCGACACUCCGACCCGACUCCGACCCUGAAGGAAAUCUGACUUUGAAUUUGACUUUUAACCCAAUAUUUUAUUUCCUUUAAAACUCUAGACGUGACUAAUUCAAGCUCUCUCAUACUAAUUGUAAUUUUCGAUUUUGAAAAACUACUUGGUAUUUUUAUUUAGAUCGAUCAUUCAAUCAAAAUACGACAUAUUAGAUCAAGAGAAAUAAAAUACGUUAAAUCAAAAUGCGAGAAAAUUUUGUUAAAUUGUAGUAUUAGGAAUAUUUCUCAUAUUAAACUUGAAUUCAAAGUACAUAUUUUUUUGUUAAAUUGUAUUUGAAAAAUAUAUUUUGUUAACUUCGUAUGUUUUAAAUCAUUAGUACAAUAUCACAACGAUAAAGUUUGAUAAUAAUCCGACUCCGUAUCCGACUCCGUUGGAGGUCCGAGUCGGGCAAACUUGGAGUAUGCAUAAUCCAACUCCGAGUGGAGGUGGACUGAAAAAAAAAGUUCGACUAAAAUCCGGAGCAAAGUCAGAGUAUGUAUAAUUCGAGCCGAGUCCGACCCAUUGCCAUCCCUAUUAAGGGGUAUAUAUUUUUUUAAAAAUUUUUUUAAUUGUAAUUUAUCAUCUUUCUAAUUCAAAAUGACUUCUUCAACAAGUAGCAGGUAACCUAAAUGUACCGAAAGCAAAGAUCUUCUUAAGGUCAGAUUAUUUAUGGUUAAUCAAUAUGUGAGAUUAUUGUAGAAAAAUCCCAAAAAUGUUGGAUUAUUUAGGGUAAUUUUUCAUUAUAUAUA